GGGGGGGGGGGGGGGGGGGGGGGGGGGGGGGGGGGCGGGGGGGGGGGGGGAGGGUGGGGGUGGAGUGAGGGGCGGGCGGGUGAGUAGUGCCUAGGAAUCGGCGUGGUGGGGGGGGAUAACGUGGGGAAACGGGCGGUAAUACCGCCUACGUGGUGAGGGAGGCAGUGGGGGGGCUUCGGACCUCACGCUAUCCGAUGAGCCCAGGUCGGCUUAGCUAGUUGGGGGGGUAAAGGCCUGCCAAGGAGACGAUCCGUAACUGGUCUGAGAGGAUGAUCAGUCACACUGGACCUGAGACACGGUCCAGACUCCUACGGGAGGCAGCAGUGGGGAAGAUUGGACAAUGGGCGAAAGCCUGAUCCAGCCAUGCCGCGUGUGUGAAGAAGGUCUUCGGAUUGUAAAGCACUUUAAGUUGGGAGGAAGAGCAGUAAGUUAAUACCUUGCUGUUUUGACGUUACCAACAGAAUAAGCACCGGCUAACUUCGUG
RNAcentral lists this ribosomal RNA (484 nucleotides) under uncultured bacterium. RNAcentral describes it as "partial 16S ribosomal RNA". The stretch from base 54 to 484 matches the Rfam family "Bacterial small subunit ribosomal RNA", at positions 39 to 507 of the family's 1533-position model. The record is from RNAcentral.